GGCCCUUCGGGGUACUCGAGCGGCGAACGGGUGAGUAACACGUGAGUAACCUGCCCCUGACUCUGGGAUAAGCCCGGGAAACUGGGUCUAAUACCGGAUACGACCACUCCAGGCAUCUGGUGGUGGUGGAAAGAACUUUGGUCAGGGAUGGGCUCGCGGCCUAUCAGCUUGUUGGUGGGGUAGUGGCCUACCAAGGCGACGACGGGUAGCCGGCCUGAGAGGGCGACCGGCCACACUGGGACUGAGACACGGCCCAGACUCCUACGGGAGGCAGCAGUGGGGAAUAUUGCGCAAUGGGCGAAAGCCUGACGCAGCGACGCCGCGUGGGGGAUGACGGCCUUCGGGUUGUAAACCUCUUUCAGCAGGGACGAAGUUGACGUGUACCUGCAGAAGAAGCGCCGGCUAACUACGUGCCAGCAGCCGCGGUAAUACGUAGGGCGCAAGCGUUGUCCGGAAUUAUUGGGCGUAAAGAGCUCGUAGGUGGCUGGUCGCGUCUGCCGUGAAAGCUUAGGGCUUAACCCUAGGUCUGCGGUGGAUACGGGCCGGCUAGAGGUAGGCAGGGGCAAGUGGAAUUCCUGGUGUAGCGGUGAAAUGCGCAGAUAUCAGGAGGAACACCGGUGGCGAAGGCGGCUUGCUGGGCCUUACCUGACGCUGAGGAGCGAAAGCGUGGGGAGCGAACAGGAUUAGAUACCCUGGUAGUCCACGCUGU
This 709-nucleotide ribosomal RNA is filed under the name Nonomuraea sp. R5-37. RNAcentral describes it as "bacterial SSU rRNA". It matches the Rfam family "Bacterial small subunit ribosomal RNA", at positions 74 to 803 of the family's 1533-position model. Lineage: Bacteria; Bacillati; Actinomycetota; Actinomycetes; Streptosporangiales; Streptosporangiaceae. The record is from RNAcentral.